UGGAGGCAGCAGUGGGGAAUAUUGCGCAAUGGGCGAAAGCCUGACGCAGCAACGCCGCGUGAGUGAUGAAGGCCUUCGGGUCGUAAAGCUCUGUCGAGAGGGAAGAAACUUCGGGGGGACUAAUAUCCCCUCGUUUUGACGGUACCUCCAAAGGAAGCACCGGCUAACUCCGUGCCAGCAGCCGCGGUAAUACGGAGGGUGCAAGCGUUGUUCGGAAUUACUGGGCGUAAAGGGCGUGUAGGCGGACCGAGUAGUCGGGUGUGAAAGCCCUGGGCUCAACCCAGGAAGUGCGCUCGAAACCAUCGGUCUUGAGUUUCGGAGGGGAGCGGGGAAUUCCCAGUGUAGAGGUGAAAUUCGUAGAUAUUGGGAGGAACACCGGUGCCGAAGGGGCCGCUCUGGACGAAUACUGACGCUAAGACGCGAAAGCGUGGGUAGCAAACAGGAUUAGAUACCCCGGU
Molecule: ribosomal RNA, 458 nt
Filed under: uncultured bacterium
Lineage: Bacteria
Description: bacterial SSU rRNA
Rfam family: Bacterial small subunit ribosomal RNA
Source: RNAcentral